CCUACGGGAGACAGCAGUGAGGAAUAUUGGUCAAUGGACGAGAGUCUGAACCAGCCAAGUAGCGUGAAGGAUGACUGCCCUAUGGGUUGUAAACUUCUUUUAUAUGGGAAUAAAAUGUUCCACGUGUGGGUUUUUGUAUGUACCAUAUGAAUAAGGAUCGGCUAACUCCGUGCCAGCAGCCGCGGUAAUACGGAGGAUCCGAGCGUUAUCCGGAUUUAUUGGGUUUAAAGGGAGCGUAGGUGGAUUGUUAAGUCAGUUGUGAAAGUUUGCGGCUCAACCGUAAAAUUGCAGUUGAAACUGGCAGUCUUGAGUACAGUAGAGGUGGGCGGAAUUCGUGGUGUAGCGGUGAAAUGCUUAGAUAUCACGAAGAACUCCGAUUGCGAAGGCAGCUCACUGGACUGCAACUGACACUGAGGCUCGAAAGUGUGGGUAUCAAACAGGAUUAGAUACCCGUGUAGUC
RNAcentral lists this ribosomal RNA (460 nucleotides) under uncultured bacterium. RNAcentral describes it as "partial 16S ribosomal RNA". It matches the Rfam family "Bacterial small subunit ribosomal RNA", at positions 338 to 795 of the family's 1533-position model. The record is from RNAcentral.